AUUGAACGCUGGCGGCAGGCCUAACACAUGCAAGUCGAACGGUAACAGGAAGAAGCUUGCUUCUUUGCUGACGAGUGGCGGACGGGUGAGUGAUGUCUGGGGAACUGCCUGAUGGAGGGGGAGAACUACUGGAAACGGUAGCUAAUACCGCAUAACGGCGCAAGACCAAAGAGGGGGACCUUUGGGCCUCUUGCCAUCGGGUGUGCCCAGAUGGGAUUUGCUAGUGGGUGGGGUAACGGCUCACCCAGGCGACGAUCCCUAGCUGGUCUGAGAGGAUGAGCAGCCACACUGGAACUGAGACACGGUCCAGACUCCUACGGGAGGCAGCAGUGGGGAAUAUUGCACAAUGGGCGCAAGCCUGAUGCAGCCAUGCCGCGUGUAUGAAGAAGGCCUUCGGGUUGUAAAGUACUUUCAGCGGGGAGGAAGGGAGUAAAGUUAAUACCUUUACUCAUUGACGUUACCCGAAGAAGAAGCACCGGCUAACUCCGUG
This 490-nucleotide ribosomal RNA is filed under the name uncultured bacterium. Its description in RNAcentral is "partial 16S ribosomal RNA". It matches the Rfam family "Bacterial small subunit ribosomal RNA", at positions 30 to 507 of the family's 1533-position model. The record is from RNAcentral.